AGACUCCCGAAGUCAAGCGUGGGUGGAGCCUGUGAGACAGCCGCCAGGCGACCCAUUCUUGGUUUCAGGGGUCA
Molecule: microRNA precursor, 74 nt
Organism: Lepisosteus oculatus (spotted gar)
Lineage: Eukaryota; Metazoa; Chordata; Actinopteri; Semionotiformes; Lepisosteidae
Rfam family: mir-551 microRNA precursor family
Source: Rfam